GUCGAGCGCGGGAAGCCGGCGGACUCCUUCGGGAGGAAACCGGUGGACCGAGCGGCGGACGGGUGAGUAACACGUGGGCAACCUGCCGGACUGAUGGGAAUAACCCCGGGAAACCGGGGCUAAUGCCCAAUACGCCCUGACCUCGCCUGAGGUCAGCGGUAAAGCAGGGAUCUUCGGAUCCUUGCACAGUCCGAUGGGCCCGCGGCGCAUUAGCUAGUUGGAGAGGUAAGGGCUCCCCAAGGCGACGAUGCGUAGCCGACCUGAGAGGGUGAUCGGCCACACUGGGACUGAGACACGGCCCAGACUCCUACGGGAGGCAGCAGUAGGGAAUCAUCCGCAAUGGGCGAAAGCCUGACGGUGCAACGCCGCGUGAGUGAUGAAGGUUUUCGGAUCGUAAAGCUCUGUUGACAGGGAAGAACCCACGCCAGUCGAACAGGCUGGCGUGCUGACGGUACCUGUCCAGAAAGCCCCGGCUAACUACGUGCCAGCAGCCGCGGUAAUACGUAGGGGGCAAGCGUUGUCCGGAAUUAUUGGGCGUAAAGGGCACGCAGGCGGUUUCGUCAGUCCGAUGUGACAGGCCACGGCUCAACCGUGGAAGGCCAUUGGAAACUGCGAAACUUGAGGACAGAAGAGGAGAGUGGAAUUCCACGUGUAGCGGUGAAAUGCGUAGAUAUGUGGAGGAACACCAGUGGCGAAGGCGACUCUCUGGUCUGUACCUGACGCUGAGGUGCGAAAGCAUGGGGAGCAAACAGGAUUAGAUACCCUGGUAGUCCAUGCCGUAAACGCUGAGUGCUAGUGUUAGGGGUUUCGAUACCCGUAGUGCCGAAGCUAACGCAUUAAGCACUCCGCCUGGGGAGUACGACCGCAAGGUUGAAACUCAAAGGAAUUGACGGGGCCCGCACAAGCGGUGGAGCAUGUGGUUUAAUUCGACGCAACGCGAAGAACCUUACCAGAUCUUGACAUCUUCCGCUACGCCUCGAGAGAGGCGGUUCCCCUUUCGGGGGACGAUGACAGUGGUGCAUGGGUUGUCGUCAGCUCGUGUCGUGAGAU
This 1050-nucleotide ribosomal RNA is filed under the name Marinococcus sp. RNAcentral's name for it is "bacterial SSU rRNA". It matches the Rfam family "Bacterial small subunit ribosomal RNA", at positions 61 to 1073 of the family's 1533-position model. The record is from RNAcentral. Lineage: Bacteria; Bacillati; Bacillota; Bacilli; Caryophanales; Bacillaceae.